UACGUAUGGUGCAAGCGUUAUCCGGAUUUACUGGGUGUAAAGGGAGCGUAGGCGGCGCGUUAAGUCUGAUGUGAAAACCCGAGGCUCAACCACGGGAGUGCAUUGGAAACUGGCGGGCUGGAGUGCCGGAGAGGUAAGCGGAAUUCCUAGUGUAGCGGUGAAAUGCGUAGAUAUUAGGAGGAACACCAGUGGCGAAGGCAGCUUACUGGACGGCAACUGACGCUGAGGCUCGAAAGCGUGGGGAGCAAACAGG
RNAcentral lists this ribosomal RNA (253 nucleotides) under uncultured bacterium. Its description in RNAcentral is "partial 16S ribosomal RNA". It matches the Rfam family "Bacterial small subunit ribosomal RNA", at positions 524 to 776 of the family's 1533-position model. The record is from RNAcentral.